This 253-nucleotide ribosomal RNA is filed under the name uncultured bacterium. RNAcentral's name for it is "partial 16S ribosomal RNA". It matches the Rfam family "Bacterial small subunit ribosomal RNA", at positions 524 to 776 of the family's 1533-position model. The record is from RNAcentral.
UACGUAGGGUGCGAGCGUUGUCCGGAAUUAUUGGGCGUAAAGGGCUCGUAGGCGGUUUGUCACGUCGGGAGUGAAAACUCGGGGCUUAACCCCGAGCCUGCUUCCGAUACGGGCUGACUAGAGGUAUGCAGGGGAGAACGGAAUUCCUGGUGUAGCGGUGAAAUGCGCAGAUAUCAGGAGGAACACCGAUGGCGAAGGCAGAUCUCUGGGCCGUAACUGACGCUGAGGAGCGAAAGCGUGGGGAGCGAACAGG